UCAGGUUUAUUGGACGGAUAUCCGACAACUCGCUUAAAAAGAUCCAAAUAUUUGAAAGAAUUAAAACCCAUAGACCCAAGUGCCUAGCCCAUAACUUAUCAACCCAGGUGGCAUGUCAGCCCAAGUCCAGAUUGCAAGCUGCAAUCUGCCAGCCGGCCCAGCCUACUUUCAAUUUCAAAUUCACUGUUCAUCACUUCAUCUAUCAUUCCUUAGUUUAGGGUUUCACACUUUCGCACAGCCGUCACAGCGCCUGCCUCAACCCUCAGCCAGUCUCGGCCCUUCUCCACAGCCCUUGUGCCAUCGCACGCGCAGCGGUUAGCACCUCUCGCCCUCCCUCCUCACAACUCACAGCCUAAUCUGCAGCUAGCACUGCACCACCACCACCACCACCACCUCACGCUCUCUCUCUGACGCGUAAUUGUGUACACCCCCCGCUGCACUCCUGUGUGAGACGUCGUGUGCGUGACCACCACUGCUGCUGCUGCUGCUGCUUCUUCUUGAACAUGACGACCAAGUACAUACUACCAGCUGUUGCGGGAUCUAUUGCAAUUGCAUUUGCUUGUGACUAUUUUAUUGCUGACAGGAAGAUAUUUGGAGGCAAGAUGCUGUCAUUUGCUCGUACCUUUUUUUUUCUUCUUUUCCUCAGCAACGGUGGCAGUUCAAUCUCACUUCUUUUCUGGAAACAGGUACUACCCCAGGCACUGUUUCGAAUAAGGAAUGGUUUGAAGAAACCGACAAGAAGUUCCAGGCGUGGCCUCGUACUGCAGGUCCCCCGGUGGCCAUGAACCCCAUCAGUCGCCAGAAUUUCAUUGUCAAGUCUCGCACUGAAUCUUGAAGAUCCACUUUUACUCGUUCUUUCUCAUUCAGUUUCUUUCCAUUGGCUAAUGGUGCUUUAAAUAAAACUGUACACUUUUUUGUUCACAUGGGAUUUGUUGAUAUUGCUGAUUUUUUUUUUGUAAUAUCUGGAUAUGAGCAAGGCUGUUAUUUGAGAAUUUGAAGUUACUUUUCAGUGUUUCAAUUUUAGCCCCAGAACCUUUUUUCUCUUCAAAUAAAAAUGUGAGCAUUGUUUAUCUUGAAA
This is a long non-coding RNA of Malania oleifera, 1078 nucleotides long. RefSeq lists it as uncharacterized. The transcript has 2 exons. Lineage: Eukaryota; Viridiplantae; Streptophyta; Magnoliopsida; Santalales; Ximeniaceae. The record is from RefSeq and is a predicted model, not a curated record.